This 253-nucleotide ribosomal RNA is filed under the name uncultured bacterium. RNAcentral's name for it is "partial 16S ribosomal RNA". It matches the Rfam family "Bacterial small subunit ribosomal RNA", at positions 524 to 776 of the family's 1533-position model. The record is from RNAcentral.
UACGUAGGGUCCGAGCGUUGUCCGGAAUUAUUGGGCGUAAAGGGCUCGUAGGCGGUUCGUCACGUCGGGAGUGAAAACUCGGAGCUUAACUCCGAGCCUGCUUCCGAUACGGGCAGACUAGAGGUAGGCAGGGGAGAGCGGAACUCCUGGUGUAGCGGUGGAAUGCGCAGAUAUCAGGAAGAACACCGGUGGCGAAGGCGGGUCUCUGGGCCGUAACUGACGCUGAGGAGCGAAAGCGUGGGGAGCGAACAGG